GCAUCUGUAGCUCAGUGGUUAGGGCUCUGGUCACAUAUACCAGGGGUGGCCAGUUCAAACCUGGCCAGGCCUG
This 73-nucleotide transfer RNA is filed under the name Otolemur garnettii (small-eared galago). It matches the Rfam family "tRNA". Rfam says of the family: Transfer RNA (tRNA) molecules are approximately 80 nucleotides in length. Their secondary structure includes four short double-helical elements and three loops (D, anti-codon, and T loops). Lineage: Eukaryota; Metazoa; Chordata; Mammalia; Primates; Galagidae. The record is from Rfam by way of RNAcentral.